RNAcentral lists this ribosomal RNA (590 nucleotides) under uncultured Geobacter sp. RNAcentral describes it as "bacterial SSU rRNA". It matches the Rfam family "Bacterial small subunit ribosomal RNA", at positions 9 to 575 of the family's 1533-position model. Lineage: Bacteria; Pseudomonadati; Thermodesulfobacteriota; Desulfuromonadia; Geobacterales; Geobacteraceae. The record is from RNAcentral.
GAGUUUGAUCCUGGUUCAGAACGAACGCUGGCGGCGUGCCUAACACAAUGCAAGUCGAACGGAGGUAAGGAGCUUGCUUCUUACUUUAGUGGCGCACGGGUGAGUAACGCGUAGAUAAUCUGCCUGAUGAUCUGGGAUAACACUUCGAAAGGGGUGCUAAUACCGGAUAAGCCCACGGGGUCUUUGGAUUCUGCGGGAAAAGGGGGGGACCUUCGGGCCUUCUGUCAUCAGAUGAGUCUGCGUACCAUUAGCUAGUUGGUAGGGUAAUGGCCUACCAAGGCUACGAUGGUUAGCUGGUUUGAGAGAAUGAUCAGCCACACUGGAACUGAGACACGGUCCAGACUCCUACGGGAGGCAGCAGUGGGGAAUUUUGCGCAAUGGGCGAAAGCCUGACGCAGCAACGCCGCGUGAGUGAUGAAGGCUUUCGGGUCGUAAAGCUCUGUCAAUGGGAAAGAAGUGUAUUAUGGCUAAUAUCCAUGAUACUUGACGGUACCCAUAAAGGAAGCACCGGCUAACUCCGUGCCAGCAGCCGCGGUAAUACGGGGGGUGCAAGCGUUGUUCGGAAUUAUUGGGCGUAAAGAGCGUGUAAG